UACGUAGGUGGCAAGCGUUGUCCGGAUUUACUGGGCGUAAAGAGCGCGCAGGCGGUCGUUCAAGUCGCGUGUGAAAGCCCCCGGCUCAACUGGGGAGGGUCACGCGAUACUGAUCGACUCGAAGGCAGGAGAGGGUAGUGGAAUUCCCGGUGUAGUGGUGAAAUGCGAAGAUAUCGGAAGGAACAUCAGUGGCGAAAGCGACUUCCUGGACCAGUACCGACGUUCAGGCACGAAAGCGUGGGGAGCAAACAGG
This 253-nucleotide ribosomal RNA is filed under the name uncultured bacterium. Its description in RNAcentral is "partial 16S ribosomal RNA". It matches the Rfam family "Bacterial small subunit ribosomal RNA", at positions 524 to 776 of the family's 1533-position model. The record is from RNAcentral.